CCAAAAGUGUUCUACAAAUUUUUACAGAUCUGAAGUUUGAAAUUCAAAAAUUCAAAAAAACCUAAAAUUGAAAUCUGAGUGAAACUUUCAUCCUAGAUCUUAGAUUUCCAAAAAUUCAAAAUAGCACAGAAAACUCCAAAAAGUACUGUUACAUUGAAACUUCUGAGAUUAAUUUUAAGUUCUAGUUGUUAAUUCAAGUUCCUAGCAUAGAUAAGUUGGAAAUGAAUUGAAGAGUCCUUGUGUUUUGGUUCCCACACACUUUGCCGCGAAACCACUCCCCAAACCACCAAAAAUCUCACCCCAACUCCAUGGUCCCUCCCCUCAUGGUCCCCCUUUUUCCUUCUCUCUUUCUUCCACGUGGCCUGACAAAUAACCGAUUUUGGUUCGAAUCCGUAUUUUAUUUUUCACUCUCACACGUGAAUCUCUUUCCACGGUAGAUGAUGGACGAAAGGUAGGAUAUGAUUAAUGAGAAUUAAUCAUACCUUCCAUUUGCCCAGAUUUUUACCAAAAAGAGGAGAUUUUCGGAAUUUCGGGGAGUUUUCGGAUUUUUGAAGGGUUUUUGCAAUUUCUUGGAGAAGGGGGAAAAGAAGCUUCGAAAGAGGGCUAUAUAGUUGGAUCUAGACAGAUAAUGAGGGAGGAUCGAAUUUUUUUUUGGAGAAAAAGGUUCUGGGUUUUGCUUCAAUUUUCAGAUCUCUUGUAAGGUUCUAAAAAAGAAAAAAAAAACGAAAAUACAAAAGAAAAAAGAGUUUGAGUUUGAUUUUCAUUUGAGUUUAAUUUCAUUUCGAGAAAUCAGAAACAUAUAAAAAUCUUCGUUCAUUUUUGUGUUUUGGCUUCAAAUACGGAAUUUGCUUGAGGACAGAGCGGUGUUCGUCGUUCGAGUUCCGGGUCCGUCGUUCGUUUUGCUGUGUUUUCUUGUCAAAGUUCCUUUCGAUUCGAGGAGUGUAUUUUCUGGAUUUUCCCACUGUUAUUUAGAAGAAUUUUAGUUUAGCAGGUUCAAUUCUCUUCUUUUUCCCUUCAUUUCGCUUAUGAAUCGAGCUUCUUAAAGUAUUUUGGAAUAUUUAAGUUCAAAAUCUGUUUGCUGCAUUUUUGUGAUUAAAGUUUGGUUGGUAUGUCAAUUGUGAGUCAGUGAUG
This 1131-nucleotide long non-coding RNA is filed under the name Nicotiana benthamiana. RNAcentral describes it as "long non-coding RNA (NBEN_LNC022555)". Lineage: Eukaryota; Viridiplantae; Streptophyta; Magnoliopsida; Solanales; Solanaceae. The record is from RNAcentral.